Molecule: small nucleolar RNA, 103 nt
Organism: Erigeron canadensis
Lineage: Eukaryota; Viridiplantae; Streptophyta; Magnoliopsida; Asterales; Asteraceae
Product: small nucleolar RNA Z122
Exons: 1
Source: RefSeq, a predicted model, not a curated record
AAAGGGAAAUGAUGCUAAAAGAUAUCGAAAAAUUAUCAUAAGCAUUAAUAAUAUUAAAUGCUAUGCUGAUCGAAAUCUAUUUGCACGUCAGUCUGAUCCCUAA